Molecule: transfer RNA, 75 nt
Filed under: Alphaproteobacteria bacterium
Lineage: Bacteria; Pseudomonadati; Pseudomonadota; Alphaproteobacteria
Also listed under: 2 other names
Description: tRNA-Val
Rfam family: tRNA
About the family: Transfer RNA (tRNA) molecules are approximately 80 nucleotides in length. Their secondary structure includes four short double-helical elements and three loops (D, anti-codon, and T loops).
Source: RNAcentral
GGGCGCAUAGCUCAGCGGGAGAGCGUUCGCUUCACACGCGAGAGGUCCAAGGUUCGAUCCCUUGUGCGCCCACCA